This 443-nucleotide ribosomal RNA is filed under the name uncultured bacterium. RNAcentral describes it as "partial 16S ribosomal RNA". It matches the Rfam family "Bacterial small subunit ribosomal RNA", at positions 338 to 795 of the family's 1533-position model. The record is from RNAcentral.
CCUACGGGUGGCAGCAGUGGGGAAUAUUGGGCAAUGGGCGCAAGCCUGACCCAGCAACGCCGCGUGAAGGAAGAAGGCUUUCGGGUUGUAAACUUCUUUUCUGAGGGACGAAGAAAGUGACGGUACCUCAGGAAUAAGACCCGGCUAACUACGUUCAAGCCGCCGCGGUAAUACGUAGGUGGCAAGCGUUAUCCGGAUUUAUCGGGUGUAAAGGGCGUGUAGGCGGGAAAGCAAGUCAGAUGUGAAAACUCAGGGCUCAACCCUGAGCCUGCAUUUGAAACUGUUUUUCUUGAGUGCUGGAGAGGCAAUCGGAAUUCCGGGUGUAGCGGUGAAAUGCGGAGAUAUACGGAGGAACACCAGUGGCGAAGGCGGAUUGCUGGACAGUAACUGACGCUGAGGCGCGAAAGCGUGGGGAGCAAACAGGAUUAGAUACCCGAGUAGUC